GUGGGGAAUAUUGCACAAUGGGGGAAACCCUGAUGCAGCAACGCCGCGUGAAGGAAGACGGUUUUCGGAUUGUAAACUUCUAUCAAUAGGGACGAAGAAAGUGACGGUACCUAAAUAAGAAGCCCCGGCUAACUACGUGCCAGCAGCCGCGGUAAUACGUAGGGGGCAAGCGUUAUCCGGAAUUACUGGGUGUAAAGGGUGAGUAGGCGGCAUGGCAAGUAAGAUGUGAAAGCCCGGGGCUUAACUCCGGGAUUGCAUUUUAAACUGCUGAGCUAGAGUACAGGAGAGGAAAGCGGAAUUCCUAGUGUAGCGGUGAAAUGCGUAGAUAUUAGGAAGAACACCAGUGGCGAAGGCGGCUUUCUGGACUGGAAACUGACGCUGAGGCACGAAAGCGUGGGGAGCGAACAGGAUUAGAAACCCUAGUAGUCC
RNAcentral lists this ribosomal RNA (429 nucleotides) under uncultured bacterium. RNAcentral's name for it is "bacterial SSU rRNA". It matches the Rfam family "Bacterial small subunit ribosomal RNA", at positions 354 to 796 of the family's 1533-position model. The record is from RNAcentral.